This 1338-nucleotide ribosomal RNA is filed under the name marine metagenome. RNAcentral describes it as "bacterial LSU rRNA". It matches the Rfam family "Bacterial large subunit ribosomal RNA", at positions 640 to 2006 of the family's 2925-position model. The record is from RNAcentral.
GCGGGUUAAACCGGAAAUGGUGGAGCCACAGCGAAAGCGAGUCUUAAUAGGGCGUUUGUCAGUGUUUAUAGACCCGAACCCUGGUGAUCUAACCAUGGCCAGGAUGAAGCUUGGGUGAUACCAAGUGGAGGUCCGAACCGACUGAAGUUGAAAAUUCAGCGGAUGAGCUGUGGUUAGGGGUGAAAUGCCAAUCGAACCAGGAGCUAGCUGGUUCUCCCCGAAAUACGUUGAGGCGUAGCGUCUAGUGCUCCAGCAGGGGGGUAAAGCAACCAUUUCGGUGCGGGCUGCGAAAGCGGUACCAAAUCGAUAUGAACUCUGAAUACCCUGUGUGUAACUAGGCAGUCAGACUGUGGGGGAUAAGCUCCAUAGUCAAGAGGGAAACAGCCCAGACCGCCAGCUAAGGUCCCAAAAUUAACGCUAAGUGAUAAAGGAGGUGGGAUUGCCCAGACAACCAGGAGGUUUGUCUAGAAGCAGCUAUCCUCAAAGGAGUGCGUAAUAGCUCACUGGUCGAGCGAUCCUGCGCCGAAAAUGAACGGGGCUAAGCGUUAUACCGAAGCUGCGGAUAAAUUUAUUUAUGGUAGGGGAGCGUUCUAUGUAGGGUGAAGCGUUAGCGUAAGCGGACGUGGACAGCAUAGAAGUGAGAAUGUCGGCUUGAGUAGCGAAAACAUGGGUGAGAAUCCCAUGCCCCGAAACCCUAAGGGUUCCUCCGGCAGGCUCGUCCGCGGAGGGUUAGUCUGGACCUAAGGCGAGGCCGAAAGGCGUAGUCGAUGGAUAACAGGUCAAUAUUCCUGUACCAGAUGUGUUUUGAGAAGGGGGACGGAGAAGGCUAACCAGGCCAGAUGUUGGUUACUGGUUCAAGCGUUCGAGGCUUUGAGAGAUGGAGAAAACAUCUUGAGCUAAGGCGUGAGUACGAGCUGCUACGGCAGCGAAGUUGGUGAUGUCAUGCUUCCAAGAAAAGCCCUAUACUCGUUAAGACACAAAUGCCAGUACCCGAAACCGACACAGGUGGGGUGGUAGAGAAUACCGAGGGGCGCGAGAUAACUCUCUCUAAGGAACUCGGCAAAAUGGCCCCGUAACUUCGGGAGAAGGGGUGCCAGCGAGAGCUGGUCGCAGUGAAGAGGCGCAAGCGACUGUUUACCAAAAACACAGGUCUCCGCUAAGUCGCAAGACGAUGUAUGGGGGCUGACACCUGCCCAGUGCCGGAAGGUUAAGGAAGCUGGUUAGCUUUUAGUGAAGCUGGCGACUGAAGCCCCGGUGAACGGCGGCCGUAACUAUAACGGUCCUAAGGUAGCGAAAUUCCUUGUCGGGUAAGUUCCGACCCGCACGAAAGGUGUAACG